Molecule: ribosomal RNA, 450 nt
Filed under: uncultured bacterium
Lineage: Bacteria
Description: partial 16S ribosomal RNA
Rfam family: Bacterial small subunit ribosomal RNA
Source: RNAcentral
GUGGGGAAUUUUGGACAAUGGGCGCAAGCCUGAUCCAGCAAUGCCGCGUGCAGGAAGAAGGCCUUCGGGUUGUAAACUGCUUUUGUACGGAACGAAACGGUCCGGGUUAAUACCCUGGGCUAAUGACGGUACCGUAAGAAUAAGCACCGGCUAACUUCGUGCCAGCAGCCGCGGUAAUACGAAGGGUGCAAGCGUUAAUCGGAAUUACUGGGCGUAAAGCGCGCGUAGGUGGUUUUGUAAGUUGGAGGUGAAAUCCCCGGGCUCAACCUGGGAACUGCCUCCAAAACUGCAUGACUAGAGUACGGUAGAGGGUAGUGGAAUUUCCUGUGUAGCGGUGAAAUGCGUAGAUAUGCGGAGGAACACCGAUGGCGAAGGCAAUCCCCUGGACCUGUACUGACGCUCAUGCACGAAAGCGUGGGGAGCAAACAGGAUUAGAAACCCCUGUAGUCC